RNAcentral lists this unclassified non-coding RNA (219 nucleotides) under Pseudomonas marincola. RNAcentral describes it as "Pseudomonas sRNA P29". Lineage: Bacteria; Pseudomonadati; Pseudomonadota; Gammaproteobacteria; Pseudomonadales; Pseudomonadaceae. The record is from RNAcentral.
AAACUACAAGGGGAGCCUAAGCUCCCCUUCAAGUAGUUACAUUCUUUAUUGUUAUUAUUGCGGGCUUGUUGUUUUUGUAAAUUUACCCGUUCCAUCAGGUCUGCGACCUGUGGAAAACCUCUCAAUGAGAGGAUUAAUAGCAAACGGAUUUGUUUGGACGCUGACAUUGCAAUGAUCAUCCAGUGAUCCAACCAGUUCGGGCGCUGCUUAUAAGCAGUU